GUGUCUUUUGAGAGCAGAAGUUUUUAAUUUUAAUUAAGUCCAAAUUAUCCAUUUUUUUAUGACUCAUACCUUUGGUAUUGUAUCUAAAAAGGCAUUGCUAAACCAAAGGUCACCUAGAUUUUCUCCCAUGUCAUCUUCUAGAAGUUUUGUAGUUUUGCAUGUUAUACUUAGGUGAAUAAUCAAUUUUGAGAUAAUUUUUGUGAGUCAUGUAAAAUCAGAUUCUAGAUUAUUUUUGACAUGUGGAGAUCCAGCUUUUCUACCACCAUUUGUUGAAAAGAUUAUUCUUUCUCCAUUGAAUUGGCUUCGCACCUUUACCAAAGACCAAUUGAUUGUAUUUGUGUGGGUCUCUUUCUGGGUUUCUUAUUCUGUUCCACUGACCUAUUUGUUAUUCUUUCAACAAUAUGACACUGUCUUGAUUAUUGUGGCUUUAUGUAAGUCUUGAAAUCAGGCGGUAGCCUUCCUCUGGCUUUAUUCUUCUUCUUCAAUAUUGUGCGGGCUAUUCUGAAUCUUUCCCGGCUUCCUUUUAACUCAAUAACGCAAGUGAGGAUAUUUAGAAGUCUCUUUUCUCAGUCCUCCACUUCUCUUGUCAUGAACUCAGGCCAGUGGCAUCUAUACACAUGAGUGAUUUCUUAAUUUUUCCCCAUUUCUAUCAUUUUUCUUCCAUAUUUUAAAAGAUUGUAUCCACAAAACUGCCUUUGUUUCACAGAUUUGCUUCAUCAAAGAUAUCUAUAACUUCUGGUCAGAGAUUCCAAUCAGCAUGAGAUAUCAUUGUUACUGACGAUUUUGAUAUGUCUGCCACAAAAGUAAACAGCAUUAUGCAACCUAAUGCCAAGUCUAACGUGAUGCCAAAUUAAGUUUAAGUGAGGCACCAAAAUAAAUUAGGUGCUGGCUUCCGAAUGAGACAGUGGACUAUAUGUAGGCCAUCUUGGGAGGUGACCCACUUUGUGCCCAGCUGCCACCAGCUGGAAACAUUUUUGGAAUGAAGAAUGACCUGUCCAAGGACUAGGGACCAGGUGGGCCAGUUAAACCCACUGUGCCUGUGGAGUCUUGGGUUAUCCUGUGAUGUUGGCCAAGACAGCUUCUUGUCUUUAUGCCAUGUGACGAAUGGGCCUGGUAGACAAUCACUGGGACAACCACGUGCAACAAGACAGCCAUUCAGUGCAGCAAGGAAGUUGCAUGCUAUUAUAAGUAGGUACUCUUCAGUCUUACACUUUGCUGAGAUUGUUGCUUGCUUGCAAUUUUAUAAUAUUUUUAUUGAAGAUUAAAGUAAGCCACAUUCUUCAAUGCCCCAAGGAGAAAGGAAAAGAUUUCAUUAGCUGCCACCGCUGUCUAUCCUAAAAGAAUGUUGCCCUGUCACCUAGGAGGGAAGCAAUGGCUGACCUCCAGCCACCUCUUCUAAGAUGGGGCUAGGGAAGGUAGAAGUGGGGGACUCCUGCUCUACUCAGACUUCUGAGGAAGUUCCAGGAGAAAAUAUUCACAAAGAAGGCACUGAGAAGGCAGUAAAUGUUUAAUAGCCACUCUUAUCUGAUUACUGCUCCAUGUUAUCCUGAGUAUAAAAGGAGGCUUCCUUUAAAACAAAAAUCUUCUGAUUGACUUAUGCCUUUUUCUGUUUUGAACCUUUACUUGCUGAAGAAUAAGAUGGGUAGGAGAAGGAGGGAGAGAAGGAGGAGCAGAAGGAUGAGGAGGAUUGGGGAGAAGAGGAAGAAGAAAAAGAAGAGG
RNAcentral lists this long non-coding RNA (1719 nucleotides) under Homo sapiens (human). RNAcentral describes it as "HSALNT0394833". The record is from RNAcentral. Lineage: Eukaryota; Metazoa; Chordata; Mammalia; Primates; Hominidae.